GUGCCAGCAGCCGCGGUAAGACGAACCGUGCGAACGUUGUUCGGAAUCACUGGGCUUAAAGGGCGCGUAGGCGGGCAUUAAAGUCAGGGGUGAAAUCCCCCAGCUUAACUGGGGAACUGCCUUUGAUACUGAAUGUCUCGAGUAAGGUAGGGGCAUGCGGAACUGAUGGUGGAGCGGUGAAAUGUGUUGAUAUCAUCAGGAACUCCGGUGGCGAAGGCGGCAUGCUGGACCUUCACUGACGCUGAGGCGCGAAAGCUAGGGUAGCGAACGGGAUUAGAUACCCCAGUAGUCC
This 292-nucleotide ribosomal RNA is filed under the name uncultured bacterium. Its description in RNAcentral is "partial 16S ribosomal RNA". It matches the Rfam family "Bacterial small subunit ribosomal RNA", at positions 505 to 796 of the family's 1533-position model. The record is from RNAcentral.